This 752-nucleotide unclassified non-coding RNA is filed under the name Hevea brasiliensis (rubber tree). Lineage: Eukaryota; Viridiplantae; Streptophyta; Magnoliopsida; Malpighiales; Euphorbiaceae. The record is from RNAcentral.
AUCAGCAAAGAAUGCAUCUUCAUCUGCAGCAUAUUUCUCGACUAGAGGGCGGAAGACUGGAUCUUCUAAGAGUGCUUUGUCUGAUGGUAGCUGGAGGAGACCUUCUUUCUCUCCACUCAAAAGCUCCUUGAAAUAGGAAUUGUCAAAUAUGAGAGGGUUGUUGGUCCAUGCUCCCUCAAAUCCUGAGCGUUCUUUGUGGCACCUUCCCAGAGUGUGACCACCAGAUAAAGCAACAAUGUCUUUAUCACUCAAUCCCAUGUGUCCAAAAACCUCCCUCAGAUGAUCUGAGCCUUUGGUGGCGUCAGGCAAGCGGCCUUCUGGAGGUGGUUCUGUCUUGUCCUGUCUCCCAGGAUGAAAAGGAAUAUCGGGGCCUCCCGUAACUUCAACAGCAACUACUCCAGCCAACUGAUAAAAGUCAGCGUAGGAUAGGAUUGGGAACUGUUCCUUGAUCGGCUCCAAAAGUCGAACAGCAAUAUCAAGACCAUUGUUAGCUCCAUGUUUAAGUUCAUUCGGGUGCCUGAUUGUUCCAAAUGGACCACCAGUUUUGGUUUUGACAUCAUAUGUCCCUGCUGAAUGCCAUGCUAAUCUCAGCAUAAUCGGAGCACAAUUCUUCUCGGCGAUAAGUCCUCUGAGCUUCCUCUUACAUUUUUCAACUGCUUUUUGAUACUCUUCGCUCACCGUCGGAUAACACUUCACCAUUUCUUCUCCGAUCAAACGUCGAUUUCCAAAUCUUUUAAAGCAAAAUAUAUUAG